AUGAAGGCAGCACAGGGAAACAAUUCUCCGAAAGCUGGAGUGAAAGAGGAAAAGAGGGAUGGCCGGGGAGGAGAGUGUGAGCCCCCGAAGGCGGAUGCCCUCGCCCGCUUGGCUGCUGCGGUGCUGCUGAACGGGAGCGAGGAGGGCAGCGUCCUUGCCCGUCUGCAGUGUGGGGACAGCGGUCUCACCUGCGUCCCGAUGAGGCCAUCAGACCACGUUCCAUCAGCGUGUCAGCCCCACACGCUGUGCGCCCCAAUCCCACAGCGUCUCCUCGCGGGGCACCUGCACCGCCUGGGGCCCUGCCAUUUCCCUUGCAAAUUCCCCAAGGGAGCAGCACCCCACGGAGGUGAGAACCCCCUCAUCAUGUCCCCAGUCGGGGAUAGGGGUCCCUUUCCCUCCCUGCUCUGCCCCUGAACCCCACUUCCCCGUAAUAAGCCCGGGGUAGGGGGAAACCCCACACAACACAAAAAUACACAGCAGCUCAGCUGCGGGGAGGUAUUCUUGGGACUGUUUCGAGAACUAGUCACCUGCGUCGGUGGGAACUUCAUCCCUUCUCUGAACGGGUGAGCUUUCCAGACAUCAGCUUGGAAGCUGAGUCCGUGAUUCUCUUCCAUCUCAAAUCCCUCUUUCUUCUUGUCGACCGGCUCUCCCUUCGUGUAGCAUUGAACGAUGCCAAUUCAAUCCAGGGCCUGAGGUUGGCACCAGGCACCUGAGGAUCGCGGAGCAUCUCUUAAAAUGUGCCUUAGACACCUGUCUUGCCUGCCCCCCACCAACAGCCCUGUGACUGAGACAUGUUCCCACCCCGGGGACCCUCUGAGGUCUCCAAGGUUGCAGCAGCAGCCAUUUAUGUAUUGAACACAUUUGUUGAGCACCUACUAAGUGACCGCUGUUGCGUUCCAAGAAUCCAAGUUGGCAAAACUGUCAUGGUCCCUGGCCUGUGAAGCCCACAGUCUAAGGGGGGAGGACAGAGACUAACCUAGAUUAACACAAAGAAGACGUGUAAAGUACAGAUGCUGUCAAGGAGGGGCUCAGGGUGUCAUGAAGCAGAUAAUGGGAGAUUUCUCCAGAGGGAGGGGACCAUCCAGCUGUGAUCUGGAGAGUGAAUAAUUAUCAGAUGAGCUUGAGGCCGAGGAAGAGUGUUCAGACCAGGCAAGAGCACGUGCAAAGGCCCGGUGGCUGGAGGGAUCUUGGUGACCCACAAGGAACUCCAAGGCUGUGGGCUUGGAGGGCAAGGAGAGAACGGGAGCCUGGAGAGGGGAGGGGAGGCGAGACCGUGUGAGGGUCUCUCAGGAUCCGUGUCUUUUUUUUUUAGUUUCAAUUUUUUUUUUAACGUUUAUUUAUUUUUGAGACGGAGAGAGACAGAGCAUGAACGGGGGAGGGUCAGAGAGAGAGAGGGAGACACAGAAUCUGCAAC
Molecule: long non-coding RNA, 1414 nt
Filed under: Felis catus (domestic cat)
Lineage: Eukaryota; Metazoa; Chordata; Mammalia; Carnivora; Felidae
Description: lncRNA (ENSFCAG00000050438.1)
Source: RNAcentral